RNAcentral lists this long non-coding RNA (665 nucleotides) under Pan troglodytes (chimpanzee). RNAcentral describes it as "long non-coding RNA NONPTRT012069". Lineage: Eukaryota; Metazoa; Chordata; Mammalia; Primates; Hominidae. The record is from RNAcentral.
AUGGGGGAGAGGUUUUGCUUGUGUUUCACCAGGAGAAAAUCAGCUUCCUGUUUGGAUACCCACUAGACAUUUGAAGUUCUACAAUCAACCCAUCAGAGAUGCAAAUGAAAGUGGCUCCGCAGAGACAGAAAACCCACAAUCGAGCAUCAUCGACUCGCAGGGUGAACAAAAUGGUGAUAUCAGAAGAACAGAUGAAGUUACCAUCCACCAAGAAAAUGGCACAUGUGGAGAGCCAGGGAGAGGAAGAGAAAGAAAAAGAGACAGAGAUCAGAGACAGACACAGAAAGUGAGACUGGGGAGAGAGAUAGUAUAAAAGAGAGAGACUGUAAGAGAAGGGAGACAAAGAGAUAAAAGGUGCGAGUGAACAGUUUACAGGUGUAUCCAGCAGCUCCAGAGAGACAGCGACCAGCGAGAAGGGGCCAUAAUGAUGGUGGCGGUUUUGUCAAAAAGAAAAGGGGGAUAUGCAGAGAAAAGAAAGAGAGAUCAGACUGUUACUGUGUCUACAUAGAAAGGGAAGACAUAAGAGACUCCAUUUUGAAAAAGACCUGUACUUUAAACAAUUGCUUUGCUGAGAUGUUCUUAAUCUGCGGCUUUGCCCCAGCCAGUUUGACCCAACCACUUUGACCCAACCUGGAGCUCACAAAAACAUGUGUUGUAUGAAAACA